Mytilus trossulus (common blue mussel) is the source of this 200-nucleotide long non-coding RNA. RefSeq lists it as uncharacterized. NCBI's taxonomy places the organism in Eukaryota, Metazoa, Mollusca, Bivalvia, Mytilida, Mytilidae. The transcript is spliced from 3 exons. The record is from RefSeq and is a predicted model, not a curated record.
CAAUAGUGUGCCUGUUGGUCUAGGAACAGGUUUAUCUCUAGCGUUAGUAGUAGUGGCAGUUGUGUUUUUAGCUGUCCUUAAAAAAAGACACAAAAGGCCAUCUUCAUUAGAAGAAACUAACCAAAGUUAUCAGUCAACACAGAUAUGGAAUAGUGACAUGAGGACCAUUUAUUCUGGACUCUCCGGUAAUUUUGAAAAUG